UCAAUACUAACCGAAACCGGAAGUACACUUGAGGGGGUUAUCUUGUUUCUCCUCGCCCGCUUCCGUUCUGCGUCUGUUUGUAAACAUGCGUCAGCAGCACGUGAUCCUGUGGACGUAUUUGUAAGUGUGGCCCAAUCAGAAAGCGGGGGUGUGUGCCGGUGGGCGUGGCCGGAGAGUGUUGCUGUGAAAAUGUCGAUGGACAGAGGUUUUCGUGAGGGCAGGGGACCACUCCGGAUUCUGGGGCGGCGAGGAGGGGCUGCAGGAGAGCGGUGGCCGCAGGUGUCACGGCGGUGCCGCAGUGAGAAAGACGUUCAGCCAAGAUGGAAUCUUUCCUUUAGAAAAUCUGUCCCUGCACUGCACACCGGAUGAUAUCUGCCUAAGAGGUAAAGCCAGCAGAGCUGACCUGGCUGCUUUCCAACACCAGAUAUGAAGAUAUAGGAAGUGGCAGAGUUGAAAAAUGACGUGGCUAAAAUGAACACAACCCUCCGCUGGACAAGGAGCCCAAAUAGGAGACGGGAAGAACCCCCAUCUGAGAGUCAACACACGUGUCACAGUAAAAAAACAUUUUUUAUUUAAGGUUUUAAAUGACAGCUAGCUGGAAAGAUCCAGGCAAUGUUAUUUACUUCCUGGAUGAGGCAUGCUUGAAAUAAAAAAGAAACCUGGAGCUAACUCAGUUCCACAAGUAACCACUAGGGGACUUUUUGAAAAAACAAGCCAGUUUCUAUUGCUGUGUAAACCAGGCAAACUUUAAGUUUGUCCGAAAAAUGUUUCUAUUUUUGUGUUUAGUUUAUAGUGGGGUUAUUUGGUAAACUGGAUCAUUUAUUUGAUAUUUUCGAUAUAAAGGGGGCGUGGCCUCUGAUAUGCCUCCUAUAUUCAGCUUUAGGACUUUUGUGGGUGGAUCCUUUGCUCCUCCUGUUUGAUUUUUACCAGAAGCUCAGGUCUUAGUGAUGUCACAUCCUGCCAGGAUGGCUACAACUGACAAACCAGGUUUAAAGUCCCACUCUGACCAUCGUUUAAUUUAUUGUAAAAGCUUUCCAGUUCUCUUUGUCUUGGAAUUAGGCAGUUUUUAGCCAAAAUAAUAAAUAAAAAACCU
Molecule: long non-coding RNA, 1093 nt
Filed under: Oryzias sinensis (Chinese medaka)
Lineage: Eukaryota; Metazoa; Chordata; Actinopteri; Beloniformes; Adrianichthyidae
Description: lncRNA (ENSOSIG00000015956.1)
Source: RNAcentral